GGAAUUAUGCCUGAGUACUAAGGAACACUUUGAUAGAGUGCCCUACGGGUGUUAAAUUCACCCUAAUUCCU
This 71-nucleotide transfer RNA is filed under the name Hippocampus bargibanti (pygmy seahorse). RNAcentral's name for it is "tRNA-Ile". Lineage: Eukaryota; Metazoa; Chordata; Actinopteri; Syngnathiformes; Syngnathidae. The record is from RNAcentral.